UCAGGACGAACGCUGGCGGCGUGCCUAAUACAUGCAAGUCGAACGGUCUUUCUAUGGAAGCUUGCUUCCACUGAGAAGAUAGUGGCGAACGGGUGAGUAACACGUGGGUAACCUGCCCAUAAGAGGGGGAGUAACAUCCGGAAACGGGUGCUAAUACCGCAUAGUUUUCUUGAUCGCAUGAUCGGGAAGGAAAGACGGCCUUUGUGCUGUCGCUUAUGGAUGGACCCGCGGCGUAUUAGUUAGUUGGUGAGGUAACGGCUCACCAAGACGAUGAUACGUAGCCGACCUGAGAGGGUGAUCGGCCACAUUGGGACUGAGACACGGCCCAAACUCCUACGGGAGGCAGCAGUAGGGAAUCUUCCGCAAUGGACGAAAGUCUGACGGAGCAACGCCGCGUGAGUGAAGAAAGGUUUUCGGAUCGUAAAACUCUGUUGUCAGAGAAGAACAAGUUGGAGAGUAACUGCUCCAGCCUUGACGGUAUCUGACCAGAAAGCCACGGCUAACUACGUGCCAGCCGCUGC
Molecule: ribosomal RNA, 521 nt
Filed under: uncultured bacterium
Lineage: Bacteria
Description: bacterial SSU rRNA
Rfam family: Bacterial small subunit ribosomal RNA
Source: RNAcentral